UACGACGGGUGCAAGCGUUACUCGGAAUUACUGGGCGUAAAGCGUGCGUAGGUGGUUCGUUAAGUCUGAUGUGAAAGCCCUGGGCUCAACCUGGGAAUGGCAUUGGAAACUGGCGAUCUAGAGUGCGGUAGAGGGUAGUGGAAUUCCCGGUGUAGCAGUGAAAUGCGUAGAGAUCGGGAGGAACAUCUGUGGCGAAGGCGACUGCCUGGACCAGCACUGACACUGAGGCACGAAAGCGUGGGGAGCAAACAGG
RNAcentral lists this ribosomal RNA (253 nucleotides) under uncultured bacterium. RNAcentral's name for it is "partial 16S ribosomal RNA". It matches the Rfam family "Bacterial small subunit ribosomal RNA", at positions 524 to 776 of the family's 1533-position model. The record is from RNAcentral.